RNAcentral lists this ribosomal RNA (468 nucleotides) under uncultured bacterium. Its description in RNAcentral is "partial 16S ribosomal RNA". It matches the Rfam family "Bacterial small subunit ribosomal RNA", at positions 28 to 507 of the family's 1533-position model. The record is from RNAcentral.
GACGAACGCUGGCGGCGUGCUUAACACAUGCAAGUCGAACGGAAAGGCCCUGCUUUUGUGGGGUGCUCGAGUGGCGAACGGGUGAGUAACACGUGAGUAACCUGCCCUUGACUUUGGGAUAACUUCAGGAAACUGGGGCUAAUACCGGAUAGGAGCUCCUGCUGCAUGGUGGGGAUUGGAAAGUUUCGGCGGUUGGGGAUGGACUCGCGGCUUAUCAGCGUGUUGGUGGGGUAGUGGCUUACCAAGGCUUUGACGGGUAGCCGGCCUGAGAGGGUGACCGGCCACAUUGGGACUGAGAUACGGCCCAGACUCCUACGGGAGGCAGCAGUGGGGAAUAGUGCACAAUGGGCGGAAGCCGGAUGCAGCAACGCCGCGUGCGGGAUGACGGCCUUCGGGUUGUAAACCGCUUUCGCCUGUGACGAAGCGUGAGUGACGGUAAUGGGUAAAGAAGCACCGGCUAACUACGUG